Malaya genurostris is the source of this 581-nucleotide long non-coding RNA. RefSeq lists it as uncharacterized. NCBI's taxonomy places the organism in Eukaryota, Metazoa, Arthropoda, Insecta, Diptera, Culicidae. The record is from RefSeq and is a predicted model, not a curated record. The transcript has 2 exons.
UAGAAGUACUGCACUCGUUUUAGUGGCGCCCGCGUCAGCUUGCCUUAUUAGGGUAGGAGAAGUGCAACGUGUGGGCGCCUAGAGUCGCAGGAGGCACGCCAAAUCUCCCCAGAACUCGAGCGGCCCGUGGCUGACUAAGCGACCAGGCGACAGUGGUCUUGUAAACAAAAUUCCACGAUGAGUUUCAUUUUACUGCUGCGGAUGCGGUAGAUAAGGACAAGGCGGAUUACUUUUGAAUCACUGCAGACUGCAGUGUUCAUUGGAAAUUACUAAUUGGUUUCGGCGAAUCACAAAGCGUUCGAAUUGGGUGAUGACGGAUUGAACGGUAUAAGGUAACAUCACGUAGCAGAGAGCGAUUGUGCAUUGGAACCGACGUUGUUCGUUCGUAAUUCAACACCGGGCUAGUAUUGACCGGCCUAGCCGAGAACCAUGAUCGUUUACCAUAUUUGAGCUUGUCGGAGUUUCUAACGACUGGAGUCUAGCGACAUAAAAUUAUGCAUUUGAACUCGAUUAUCUGCAGUGUUACAGCUGUUUAUGUAGGCGAUUUUUAAGAGUCAAUAAAGAAUCAGUUUUCCAUCAAA